GCGGGUGGAGCGGUGGUUGGCCGCAGAGACCAGCGGAAAGCGACUGUUUACUAAAAACACAGGUCCAUGCGAAGUCGCAAGACGAUGUAUAUGGACUGACGCCUGCCCGGUGCUGGAACGUUAAGAGGACCGGUUAGCCAGCAAUGGCGAAGCUGAGAAUUUAAGCGCCAGUAAACGGCGGUGGUAACUAUAACCAUCCUAAGGUAGCGAAAUUCCUUGUCGGGUAAGUUCCGACCUGCACGAAUGGCGUAACGACUUUCCGGCUGUCUCGACCACAGGCCCGGCGAAAUUGCAUUACGAGUAAAGAUGCUCGUUACGCGCGGCAGGACGGAAAGACCCCGGGACCUUUACUAUAGUUUGGUAUUGGUUUUCGGUUCGGCUUGUGUAGGAUAGGUGGGAGACUGUGAAGCGCUCACGCUAGUGGGUGUGGAGUCGUUGUUGAAAUACCACUCUGGUCGGAUUGGGAAUCUGAACCUCGGACCAUGAUCUGGUUCAGGGACAGUGCCUGAUGGGUAGUUUAACUGGGGCGGUUGCCUCCUAAAGGGUAACGGAGGCGCCCAAAGGUUCCCUCAGCCUGGUUGGCAAUCAGGUGUCGAGUGCAAGUGCACAAGGGAGCUUGACUGUGAGACAGACAUGUCGAGCAGGGACGAAAGUCGGGACUAGUGAUCCGGCACCUCCUGGUGGAAGGGGUGUCGCUCAACGGAUAAAAGGUACCCCGGGGAUAACAGGCUGAUCUUGCCCAAGAGUCCAUAUCGACGGCAUGGUUUGGCACCUCGAUGUCGGCUCGUCGCAUCCUGGGGCCGGAGUAGGUCCCAAGGGUUGGGCUGUUCGCCCAUUAAAGCGGCACGCGAGCUGGGUUUAGAACGUCGUGAGACAGUUCGGUCCCUAUCCGCCGCGCGCGCAGGAUACUUGAGGAAGGCUGUCCCUAGUACGAGAGGACCGGGACGGACGGACCUCUGGUGUGCCAGUUGUCACGCCAGUGGCAUGGCUGGUUGGCUAUGUUCGGAAGGGAUAACCGCUGAAGGCAUCUAAGCGGGAAGCCUGUUCCAAGAUGAGGUAUCCCACCCCUUUGUGGGUUAAGGCCCCCAAGAGACGAUUGGGUUGAUAGGCCAGAAAUGGAAGCACAGUAAUGUGUUGUCGAGUUGACUGGUACUAAUAGGCCGAGGACUUGCCUAC
Molecule: ribosomal RNA, 1176 nt
Filed under: Amycolatopsis echigonensis
Lineage: Bacteria; Bacillati; Actinomycetota; Actinomycetes; Pseudonocardiales; Pseudonocardiaceae
Description: partial 23S ribosomal RNA
Rfam family: Bacterial large subunit ribosomal RNA
Source: RNAcentral